Molecule: ribosomal RNA, 1050 nt
Filed under: metagenome
Description: bacterial SSU rRNA
Rfam family: Bacterial small subunit ribosomal RNA
Source: RNAcentral
UUAUUGCUGGAGAUCCUCGGAGGAGCAGUGGGGAAUAUUGCACAAUGGAGGAAACUCUGAUGCAGCAACGCCGCGUGGAGGAUGACACAUUUCGGUGCGUAAACUCCUUUUAUAUGAGAAGAUAAUGACGGUAUCAUAUGAAUAAGCACCGGCUAACUCCGUGCCAGCAGCCGCGGUAAUACGGGGGGUGCAAGCGUUACUCGGAAUCACUGGGCGUAAAGAGCAUGUAGGCGGAUAGAUAAGUUGGAAGUGAAAUCCUAUGGCUUAACCAUAGAACUGCUUCCAAAACUGUCUAUCUAGAAUAUGGGAGAGGUAGAUGGAAUUUCUGGUGUAGGGGUAAAAUCCGUAGAGAUCAGAAGGAAUACCGAUUGCGAAGGCGAUCUACUGGAACAUUAUUGACGCUCAGAUGCGAAAGCGUGGGGAGCAAACAGGAUUAGAUACCCUGGUAGUCCACGCCCUAAACGAUGCACACUAGUUGUUGCCUUGCUAGACAAGGCAGUAAUGCAGUUAACACAGUAAGUGUGCCGCCUGGGGAGUACGGUCGCAAGAUUAAAACUCAAAGGAAUAGACGGGGACCCGCACAAGCGGUGGAGCAUGUGGUUUAAUUCGACGAUACGCGAAGAACCUUACCUGGCCUUGACAUAGAAAGAACUUACUAGAGAUAGUUUGGUGCUAGCUUGCUAGAACUUUCAUACAGGUGCUGCACGGCUGUCGUCAGCUCGUGUCGUGAGAUGUUGGGUUAAGUCCCGCAACGAGCGCAACCCUCGUGUUUAGUUACUAACAGUUCGGCUGAGGACUCUAGACAGACUGCCUACGCAAGUAGGAGGAAGGUGAGGACGACGUCNAGUCAUCAUGGCCCUUACGGCCAGGGCUACACACGUGCUACAAUGGGGCAUACAAAGAGCCGCCAUACGGUGACGUGGAGCAAAUCUCAUAAAAUGCCUCCCAGUUCGGAUUGUAGUCUGCAACUCAACUACCUGAAAGUGGAAUCCCUAGUAAUCGUAGAUCAGCUAUGCUUCCGUGAAAACCUUCCCCGGGCCUGGUACCCCC